UCCCUACCCACCCGUCGCCCCCAGGAACCCCCCAACCACCCCCCCGCGCCGCCCUCCUCUGACCUCCCGUGUCGCCGCUGCCGCCCCUGAACCGGCGCACGGCCGCCGCCCCUGGCCCCGUGCGCCGCGGCUGCCGAUCCGCCCGACACCCUGACCUCCCACCCUACACCCGCCAUCCCGCAAGUAUCCUGCGGGGAGGCGCCCCAACCCACCCCUCCGGCGCCAGCCCCGGCCACGUUCUGGCUCCGGUGAAGCGCGCCGCGGUACACCAGGAUCCCGCACCACAGCCAUCUCCCUCCCUCCCCUGGUUCGACCACGGUGGUGUUCUCCCCUUGUUUCAACCACUGCACUGCCCCGCCCCUGGGAUACAUCUGCCGCCGUCCCUGGAUCCGCCCGCUGCGAUGACCGCACUGCCACCCCACUGUCCUCCGGCACCACCAACGUUCCCCAGGCACAUUGGAUCCCCGCCACCGCGCCCACACCCGCACCGUGAGAUCCCCGCCCCGCCACGUGGCUGAGAUCCUCCAACCGCCGCCCAAGCCCGACGCCAUCAGCCUGCCACCGCGAAGCCGAGUGCCUCCCCUCCCUGAUACGGCGCAGUUCCCCAUUCUACCUUCUUCCCCAUCUGAAGGAGAUGAACUUCAUGUGCCCACGGCGUUAGCCGUCCCUUACCCGUUCAAGUACAUUGGGGCAAGCACAUAUCACCAGUAUCGCUGACCUUUGAUCGACCGUCUAUUACUUGCUCUCUUCGCAAAGGCGCUAUGGCUGCUGGUUCUCUUCAACAGUCUGUUCAACCAGGAGAAUGGGAGAGAGAGGAUGGGCAACGACAGCUGCUCCUGGGUUCUCGCAUGCAGACGCAGUUCUGCUGCUGUUGAUGCAUGCACUCUCUCUUGCUAGUGGUGCUGCCCCAUGCUAUUGUUCCCUGCUACUAAUAAUGGUGUUACUGUUGCUUCCAACCUUCCUCUCAAUAUUUUGCUACUUGUGCUGCUAGUACAAGCUGACGCUUUCUUUUUUACGUUCCUCUCUCUCAUUGAGUGCACAAGAAAAAUAUAUAUGAUUCUGAUUGGAUUUCUGUAGAAAUAUACCCCCUUUUAAUUAUGUUCUAAUCUCAUACACAGAAACAUCGGUGCAUGACUUUGUGUGGUUUU
Long non-coding RNA from Triticum urartu, 1148 nucleotides. RefSeq lists it as uncharacterized. The record is from RefSeq and is a predicted model, not a curated record. NCBI's taxonomy places the organism in Eukaryota, Viridiplantae, Streptophyta, Magnoliopsida, Poales, Poaceae.